This 492-nucleotide ribosomal RNA is filed under the name uncultured bacterium. RNAcentral describes it as "partial 16S ribosomal RNA". It matches the Rfam family "Bacterial small subunit ribosomal RNA", at positions 29 to 507 of the family's 1533-position model. The record is from RNAcentral.
AGUGAACGCUGGCGGUAGGCCUAACACAUGCAAGUCGAACGGCAGCACAGUAAGAUCUUGCUCUUACCGUUGGCGACUGGCGGACGGGUGAGGAAUACAUCGGAAUCUACUUUUUCGUGGGGGAUAACGUAGGGAAACUUACGCUAAUACCUCAUACGACCUACGGGUUAAAUCAGUGGAUCUUCGCACCUUGCGCGAUUCAAUUAGCCGAUGUCGGAUUAGCUAGUUGGCGGGGUAAAGGCCCACCAAGGCGACGAUCCGUAGCUGGUCUGAGAGGAUGAUCAGCCACACUGGAACUGAGACACGGUCCAGACUCCUACGGGAGGCAGCAGUGGGGAAUAUUGGACAAUGGGCGCAAGCCUGAUCCAGCCAUACCGCGUGGGUGAAGAAGGCCUUCGGGUUGUAAAGCCCUUUUGUUGGGAAAGAAAAGCAGCAGGUUAAUACCCCGCUGUUCUGACGGUACCCAAAGAAUAAGCACCGGCUAACUUCGUG